CCUACGGGUGGCUGCAGUCGAGGAUCUUCGGCAAUGAGCGCAAGCUUGACCGAGCGACGCCGCGUGAGCGAUGAAGGCCUUCGGGUUGUAAAGCUCUUUAGUGGGGGAGAUCUAUCCCAAAAAUAAGCACGGGCUAAGUUCGUGCCAGCAGCCGCGGUAAGACGAACCGUGCGAACGUUGUUCGGAAUCACUGGGCUUAAAGGGAGCGUAGGCGGGCUAUCAAGUCUGGGGUGAAAUCCCACGGCUCAACCGUGGAACUGCCUUAGAUACUGACGGCCUCGAGGGAGAUAGGGGCAUGCGGAACUGUAGGUGGAGCGGUGAAAUGCGUUGAUAUCUACAGGAACUCCGGUGGCGAAAGCGGCGUGCUGGUCCUUCUGACGCUGAGGCUCGAAAGCUAGGGGAGCAAACGGGAUUAGAUACCCUUGUAGUC
Molecule: ribosomal RNA, 430 nt
Filed under: uncultured bacterium
Lineage: Bacteria
Description: partial 16S ribosomal RNA
Rfam family: Bacterial small subunit ribosomal RNA
Source: RNAcentral